RNAcentral lists this ribosomal RNA (253 nucleotides) under uncultured bacterium. Its description in RNAcentral is "partial 16S ribosomal RNA". It matches the Rfam family "Bacterial small subunit ribosomal RNA", at positions 524 to 776 of the family's 1533-position model. The record is from RNAcentral.
UACAGAGGGGGCAAGCGUUGUCCGGAUUUACUGGGCGUAAAGAGCGCGCAGGCGGUCGGAUAAGUCGAAUGUGAAAGCCCCCGGCUCAACUGGGGAGGGUCAUUCGAUACUGUUCGACUCGAAGGCAGGAGAGGGAAGUGGAAUUCCCGGUGUAGUGGUGAAAUGCGUAGAUAUCGGGAGGAACACCGGUAGCGAAGGCGGGUCUCUGGGCCGAUACUGACGCUGAGGAGCGAAAGCGUGGGGAGCGAACAGG